GAGAACAUCCUUUGAGCUGUCUACUCUCGUGGUGAUCCACAGCCUAUUCCAUCCCACUUCCGCGUCCGCCAUCUCCUUCACCAAAUGCUCACAACUACAUCAGGCUCACACUCAAGUCCGGCGAGCAAACCAUGAGUUCCAUUUGGUAAAGUCAGAUUGAAUAUGGCUCUGCAUCUUGCAAAUUUUCGUAACUGUCAUUGAUGUCUUCAUACUAGACAUACUUAGUCAUCAGAAAUCCUCAUUAAUUGUGGUGAAUAGCACACUCUAUCAUUGCAAGUGUCAUCUAAGAGAAGAGAGCUUCUAGGUGAUGAGAUAUACUUGGGAGAAAAUUCCCAUGAUCAGUGGGAAAAUGAAAAGUUACAUGGGCAAAUUGAUAUCUCAUUUUGAGUUAAGAAGACAAAUGGCAAGGUGAAGAUGAGAUUAGGGAGUAUCAGAAACAGCAGGAAUGGUUUUGUAAGUACGGCGCCAUUGGGUCUUCAUUGGGUCUUCAUUGUUGGGCUUUAUUCAUUUGACACAUGAUUUCAGAAGGAAUUAAAUGAAAAUAUCUUGCUGUUCUAGUUUCAAACCAACUACUGAACUCUUCCAUCCAAGAUGGCACAAUAGUCCCAGUACUAAAUGCAGCUCAGGGAUAUCCUUUUCAAACUGU
This 646-nucleotide small RNA is filed under the name Histoplasma capsulatum. RNAcentral's name for it is "hypothetical RNA". The record is from RNAcentral. Lineage: Eukaryota; Fungi; Ascomycota; Eurotiomycetes; Onygenales; Ajellomycetaceae. RNAcentral also lists the same sequence under 1 other name.